UGCGCUAUUUUCAUAUUUUCAGUCUUCGGUUACGACCGUGAGCAGUUUACUUACGUGAGUAAUAACUGAACUCAGCUGCCUGUAAUCGUGAGUCACAUACUUGUCAGUCUUUCGACUAAGACAGUGGUGCACAUAACGCAGGAAAUCCAAUCGGGCAAGUUUCAUCGAUACGACUACGGUGCCACAAAAAUCUCUUAAUCUAUUCGAUAGAACCUCCGGAUUAUGAUUUAUCGAGUGUUACGGUGCCGAUCGUGAUAUUCUAUGCUAACAACGACUUCCUGGUCGAUCCCAUUAAUGUGAAGAGGUUGUAUAAUUUACUGCCCAACGUAAUAGAUUUGUACAAUGUGCCGCGGCCCAGUUUUAAUCACGUGGGCUUUAUAUGAACCGAGGAUGCACCUAUACUUGUGUACAAAAGAGUUUUUAAAAUCAUGAAAAGGAAAUAUUUAAAUAAUGUAACAACGAUAUGAUAAUAGGUACAUUGCGCUGAUCUGGAUUAUGGAAGUUAAAUAAAUAAAUAAAUAAAUAAAUAAUAAAUAAUGAUUAAAAGUGCUAAAAACA
Molecule: non-coding RNA, 558 nt
Organism: Nylanderia fulva
Lineage: Eukaryota; Metazoa; Arthropoda; Insecta; Hymenoptera; Formicidae
Source: RefSeq, a predicted model, not a curated record